Molecule: ribosomal RNA, 942 nt
Filed under: candidate division TA06 bacterium
Lineage: Bacteria
Description: bacterial SSU rRNA
Rfam family: Bacterial small subunit ribosomal RNA
Source: RNAcentral
UUUUAUGGAGGGUUUGAUCCUGGCUCAGGACUAACGCUGGCGGCGUGUCUUAGCCAUGCAAGUCGAACGGACCAAGAUUUAGUAGCAAUACUUUUUCUUGGUUAGUGGCGCACGGGUGAGUAACACGUGAAUAAUCUACCCCAAAGUGGCGGAUAACAGAUCGAAAGGUCUGCUAAUACACCAUAUGCUCACGACCUGUAAGGGUUGCGAGGAAAGGUGGCCUCUGCUUGCAAGCUAUCGCUUUGGGAUGAGUUCGCGUCCUAUCAGCUAGUUGGUGAGGUAAAGGCUUACCAAGGCGAUGACGGGUAGCCGGCCUGAGAGGGUGAACGGCCACACUGGAACUGAGACACGGUCCAGACUCCUACGGGAGGCAGCAGGCUAGAAAAUUGGGCAAUGGGCGCAAGCCUGACCCAGCGACGCCGCGUGAGGGAUGAAGGUCUUCGGAUUGUAAACCUCUGUUAGGAAGGAAAAUGGGAGUAGGUCCUAAUACGGCCUAUUUUUGAUGGUACUUCCAGAGAAAGCACCGGCUAACUCCGUGCCAGCAGCCGCGGUAACACGGGGGGUGCAAGCGUUGUCCGGAAUUACUGGGCGUAAAGGGGAUGUAGGCGGAUGAAUAAGUUAAACGUGAAAACUAAGGGCUUAACCUUUAGCCUGCGUUUAAUACUGUUCAUCUUGAGUUCGGAAGAGGAGAACGGAACUUCCAGUGUAGCAGUGGAAUGCGCAGAUAUUGGAAGGAACACCAGUGGCGAAGGCGGUUCUCUGGUACGUAACUGACGCUGAUCUCCGAAAGCUAGGGGAGCGAACAGGCUUAGAUACCCUGGUAGUCCUAGCCGUAAACGAUGGAUACUAGGCGUUUCCAUUAGGAAGUGCCGACGCUAACGCAUUAAGUAUCCCGCCUGGGGAGUACGAUCGCAAGGUUGAAACUCAAAGGAAUUGACGGGG